Molecule: ribosomal RNA, 386 nt
Filed under: uncultured bacterium
Lineage: Bacteria
Description: bacterial SSU rRNA
Rfam family: Bacterial small subunit ribosomal RNA
Source: RNAcentral
CGGUAAUACAGAGGGUGCGAGCGUUAAUCGGAAUUACUGGGCGUAAAGGGCGCGUAGGCGGAUAAUUAAGUUAGAUGUGAAAUCCCUGGGCUUAACCUAGGAACUGCAUCUAAUACUGGUUAUCUAGAGUGCGGUAGAGGAUAGUGGAAUUUCCGGUGUAGCGGUGAAAUGCGUAGAUAUCGGAAGGAACACCAGUGGCGAAGGCGACUAUCUGGACUGACACUGACGCUGAGGCGCGAAAGCGUGGGGAUCAAACAGGAUUAGAUACCCUGGUAGUCCACGCUGUAAACGAUGAGAACUAGAUGUUGGUAGGCUUGGACCUAUCAGUAUCGAAGCUAACGCGAUAAGUUCUCCGCCUGGGGAGUACGGCCGCAAGGCUAAAACUC